GAUGAAGAACGCAGCGAAAUGCGAUAAGUAAUGUGAAUUGCAGAAUUCAGUGAAUCAUCGAAUCUUUGAACGCACCUUGCACCCUUUGGCAUUCUGAAGGGUAUGCUCGUUUGAGUGUCAUUGUACUCUCACACUCCCGAUCUUUGCAUUGGGAGCAGUGGACUUGGGUUUGCUGCUUCACCGUCGCUUACCUCAAAUAGGUUAGUGCAACUCUUGGUUGGACAUAGUACGGCGUGAUAAGUGUUCUUCGCCGGUGCCUCGCAAAGAGGGUGGCCGAUCGGCAUGUUGUGCUCCAAACCGUCUUCGGACAAUCUCUGACGACUUGACCUCAAAUCGAGUAAGACUACCCGCUGAACUUAAGCAUAUCAAUAAGCGGAGGA
Molecule: unclassified non-coding RNA, 380 nt
Filed under: soil metagenome
Description: partial contains 5.8S ribosomal RNA, internal transcribed spacer 2, and large subunit ribosomal RNA
Rfam family: 5.8S ribosomal RNA (bases 1-120)
Source: RNAcentral